This 253-nucleotide ribosomal RNA is filed under the name uncultured bacterium. Its description in RNAcentral is "partial 16S ribosomal RNA". It matches the Rfam family "Bacterial small subunit ribosomal RNA", at positions 524 to 776 of the family's 1533-position model. The record is from RNAcentral.
UACGAAGGGGGCUAGCGUUGUUCGGAAUUACUGGGCGUAAAGCGCACGUAGGCUGAUAUUUAAGUCAGGGGUGAAAUCCCGGGGCUCAACCCCGGAACUGCCUUUGAUACUGGGUAUCUUGAGUAUGGAAGAGGUAAGUGGAAUUGCGAGUGUAGAGGUGAAAUUCGUAGAUAUUCGCAGGAACACCAGUGGCGAAGGCGGUGCUCUGGGCCGGAACUGACGCUGAGGAGCGAAAGCGUGGGGAGCAAACAGG